UUUAUCUGUAAUCUCUACACUGGAGAAAAUCCUCAGCUUUUCCUAAUCCAAACAUCUCUAAAGAGAAAAUCUCUGAAGGUUUGUAGAUUUAAAGCACAGAGAGACUCUGUGUUUAAUCGUCUGCAGUCAGUAAAGAGUCGUGAAGUGAGCUGUGAUUAUUCACUGAUCUCUGACCCGACUGCUCGCUCUCUAAUGAGUGAUAAAUACACCAUGAUGCGUAAGUUAUAAUAAACAAAUUAUGUAUUCCAUUACUUUAUACCUUUGAAUAAUUUGAACUCAUUUUCAUUUCAUCUUUUGUCAGAUUUCUUUACAACAACAACAACGACUCAGACAUCCACUCCUGAAGAGAAACCCAGUGCAGGUUAGUGACUCAGUUUUAAUUACAUUACAUUAGAAUUUCGUGGUGUUCAUUUUACUUUGGUCAUUGUUUUACUGUAGGAACACCAAAAAUGUAUAUCUGUGUGGAUUAUCUUCAGCAGAUGUAAAUUGAACACGACCCACCGUGAUCAGGACGGUGAUGAGGUUUACACAGAGGUGAUGUACACACUCUCCUCUCAGCAGUUCUCAGAGGAAACACAGCUCCUUUCAGCUUCCUCUGAAUGAUGGACACUGAACAGCUUCUGUCUUCUGUCUCAGUUUAAAGUCUGAACUCAAUAAACUCUUAUUUGUUAAAUAACACAAAUAUUCCUAACAAUUCAUUUGAUUCUCAUGAAUGCUUUUCACAGUCUGCCUUUAUCAUGAACCGUGUGUUUUCUAAAGGAAAUCUGCAGGGUGAACUAUUUUACUGUUGAAUUUGAAACGCACAAUAAAUCAUUUCAUCAGAGAUGCACUUUAAA
Long non-coding RNA from Ictalurus punctatus (channel catfish), 836 nucleotides. RefSeq lists it as uncharacterized. The record is from RefSeq and is a predicted model, not a curated record. The transcript is spliced from 2 exons. NCBI's taxonomy places the organism in Eukaryota, Metazoa, Chordata, Actinopteri, Siluriformes, Ictaluridae.